This 409-nucleotide ribosomal RNA is filed under the name uncultured organism. RNAcentral's name for it is "bacterial LSU rRNA". It matches the Rfam family "Bacterial large subunit ribosomal RNA", at positions 2078 to 2485 of the family's 2925-position model. The record is from RNAcentral.
GGACAGAAAGACCCUAUGAAGCUUUACUGUAGUUUGGAAUUGGGUUCGGGCUCUUCUUGCGCAGCCUAGGUGGGAGGCUACGAAGAUAAACUUUUGGGUUUAUUGGAGCCAACAGUGAGAAACCACUCUAGAGGAGCUAGAAUUCUAAUGGCGUUCCUUGAAGCAGGACGCUUGACAGUUUCAGAUGGGCAGUUUGACUGGGGCGGUCACCUCCUAAAAGGUAACGGAGGUGUGCAAAGGUUCCCUCAGGCUGGACGGAAAUCAGCCGUAGAGUGUAAAGGCAGAAGGGAGCUUGACUGCAAGACCUACAAGUCGAGCAGGGGCGAAAGCCGGCCUUAGUGAUCCGACGGUUCCGAGUGGAAGGGCCGUCGCUAAACGGAUAAAAGUUACUCUAGGGAUAACAGGCUGA